CUCUCUUGCCACACACACAAGGGAGCUCAGAGCCCUCUUCUAACAAAUGGCACCCGAACAGGGAUAAGAAAGGUAGACCAGUCAGGAGAUGUCUGAGAGGACUGCCAGGCAGAGAGGCCCUAUCUUAAGAGAGCUGAAAGAACCUCUGGCAAGAGAGCGGAAAGAAGCUCUAGAAAAAGAGCUGAAAGAAGCCCUACGGAGACACAGGCUGAAAGAAGCCCUGUCCUGCUGAAAGAAGCACAAGACUGAGAGAAGUCUUACCGUCCUCAGCCGACUGCCGUUCAUUCAACAAAGCUGGUGAUUGAAAAUGCGAACGCUGACUACCAAGAGGUGCUGCGUGCUGUAAAGAAUCCCACUACUGAAGAAUUUGCACAACAAAAGGCGCUGGAGUGGAAGCUAUCGGAGCUCAGCAACUCGAAGCAAGGCUUGCAGACCCUGAGCCUAUGGCUCAUUCACCACCGCAAGAGAAGAAGGAUCAAACCUCCAGGCUUGGUGGACGUUAGCGUGUGGGAGCAGGAGCUACGAAAGCUGCUGCUGAGACGUAUGCUUGUUUGGACUCGCACUCAUUUCAGUUGUUGACAUUGUUGCAGUGUAUUUUUCUAAACCUUUAGCUGUUGUAGCAGUUGUUAAAUGCUCCAGAAAAUUCUAAGAUAGGCCUAACAACGUUGAAAGUAUGUUUGAAAGUUGUGCUAUGUCUGCAUUCUAAAUUAGAAAACAGUAUUUUCUGUAAAAUUACGUGUGUUCAUGUGCAGUAGAUUGGCAAUGUAGGAAGCUUUCUCAUAUUUGGUUGUAUAAUACAACUUGAUUGACUGAAUAUCUUCUGGUGUUUAAGAAUGUAAUGUGUAUAUUUACAACUGUAUAUUGUUGGAAAUAUCCAAAUAAUUUUGUCAGGACGGUAUCUCUGAUAAAGCAGAUUUUAUUCGCGAUUGCAAUGGUGGGAGUCCCACAAGCAGGAGAGCACGCUUAUGGGCAUGGAUGUUAGCUUUUGUACCUUGUUUCUCCCCCCCCCGCCCCUCCUUGCCUCUCCUGUUUCCCCACUGGCUGGGUACUCCAGGUUCACAAUCUUAUCAAAAGGUUUACAUUUGUUAAUUACUUGUUAAAUCGUGUGUUAUCUGGUGUCAGUCAGUAGCAGUCCUGUUGUCUCCAAGAUGUUUUGGUACCCUUCUCAUUCGUACUGAUUUUCUUCAGAGUCUUAGAUAAAGACAAAGAGUACGGAAGGGGGGGUGGAGGGGGGUGCCAGAUCUUCCUCAAUACAUUCUUCAGGCACUCCCUAAGGCAUGUCACGAGUUGUCCUUUUAAUUUGUGCAGGAUAUUCUUGCAAUGUGUGUGACAUAUAUUAUUUUAUGCUGGCUAUACGUAAGUUGUUACUAGCUUACGUAUGUAUGCAUAUAUUAUUUUACUUAUAUACUGAGUAUACAUUGUUGGGGAAGGUUUAUCUAGAGGAUGAGCAAUGAAAACUAUCAGAGAACCCUGAUAAAGUAGAAAAACCCCUGAAAAGAGUUAUUAAUUGUAAUAAAGAACCCAAAUGGUAGCAGAGGUCAUGAAAUUAACAAAAUUCUUAUCUUGUUUCUGAUGCAGAAACAACAUUCAAUUCCCACAAUAUGUUACCUGCACCUGCCUGGCUUUCAUAAUUCUGGUUCUGAAUAUAUAGUUGCAGUGAUUUAAAUAAUAAUAAUAAUAAUAAUAGAUUUUCCUAUUAAAAACAAAAAUAAAAACAACCAAAUGAAAAGCCAAAAAUAAACAAAAAAUAGUUGUAUUGCAUGCGCAAGAACUCAGAGCCCUCUUGCAUCAGGUGGCUGGAAAUGCUUCCUGUGACACAUACCACCAAACAAAAAACUAUCUUGGGCCUUGAAAAGUAAGUCUUGUGGUAAUAUGGGAUUCCAGGAAGAUCUGAAUUGAAAAAACUGAGUCAGAUAACAGGACCCAUUUGCAAAACCAUCUCAGAAACACUUAGGUUGAAGAGCAUGGCACUGAGUAAUUAUAUCACAGACCCUAUCAUACACCAACCUCGGGAAAAUCAAAUGAUGCAAUGGACUGUUAAAGACUAUACUGAGAUCCGUGGGUGCUGGGACAUUCAAAUAGUAGGAUACACAUUUAGUAAAAGCCAUCUGGUUAGUCAAUACUAGGGACUCUGCCAGUAUAGCUGGUUCUGUGCAAUCAAAUCUCUUAUGUACCAUAGAAGGAGAAGAAGCCCCUCUGGUGCACAUGAAAAACAUGCAGGGCAAGACAGUCUGGGUUAUUCCUGCCUCAGGCACAGGCAAGACUAUUCAGGGGAUUGCUUUCACUCAAGGACAUGAGUGUAGUUGGUGGAUAUACGGCAGAAUGUAUGAAUUUGGUAUGUACUUAUCGGGGAAGUACAUGCUCUGAAAGACUGUUCUGACAGAUGGAACCCAAAGUCAUAGACUAAAUUAACUCCAUGGACAAUUUAGAGGGAUGGCCCAUAAACUAUGGAAAUGAUAUGUGUGUAUAUCAAAAAGUAGGACAACUGAUAAUUAUUAAUUGGGAUGUAUGAGAAUGUAUGGGAUCUGAGCAUAAUAUAGAUGGCAUGAAAUAAGGAAUAUAUAUUGUUCCAGUUUUGAGUGGGACAGAGUUGAUUUUCUUCAUAGGGUCUGUUAUGAUGCUAUGUUUUUGCUAUAGGAGAAAACUGAUAGCAUACCUAUGUUUUAGUUCUUGCCAAGCUGUGCUGCACAGAGCCAAGGACAUUUCAGUUCCUCAUGCUAUCCUGCCAGUGAGGGGCCUGGGAGCGCACAAGGAUCUGGGAGGGGACGGAAGGACAACUGAUCUAAACUGGAUGAAGAGAUAUACUAUACCACAAGAUGUCAUGUGAAAAGAAUAAAACUGUGGCUAGUUGACCAAGGGGACGAACAUAGUUUGGGAAGUGGAUGCUUAUCAGAUAUCAAGUGGUGGCCAAGUUUGCUGUGCAUCACUUGUUUUAUGUUUUGUGUUUUAUGUUAUGUGUUACAUGUAUGACAUAUAUGAAAAUAUAUGGAAAUAUAUUUGUAUACAUAUCAAAUAUACAUAUGGAAAUAUAUCCAUAUGCAUAUGGAAAUAUAUUUGUAUACAUGUCCAUAUAUGUAAGACAUACAUGGAAAUAUAGCAACGAUGAUCCAAAAGUAAUGCCUCCUAUUUUAUUAUAUUAGCCCAUAAUGUCAAAAGUAGAUUUUGGUGCCGUGCCAGUAAAGGAUGAACCUUUCUGCCAAUACUCCACUACAUUUUGUUGCUGUGCAACAGAUGGCAGCAGAGAGUCUUUCAAAAUGGCAUCUACGUGGAAGUACAGAUGAAGAAAAGGUGUAUCAUUGAAUUCCUCCAUGCAGAAAAAAAUUGCAUCCAUUGACAUUCACUGUUGCUUACUGAAGAUUUAUGAAGACCAAACAGAGAAUGUGAGCACAGUGAGGUGGUGGGUGGUGGGUUUUAUCAGUGGUAACCGAGACAGUGUGUCACCUCUACUGGUGUAGAUUUUCACAGGUACACUAUGCAGGUUCUUGUUCACUGCUGGUGUAAAGGCAUGGCUAAUGGUAUUGACUAUGUUGAAAAGCAGUUUUUUGUUUGAGAUUUUUUUAUAUCAAAUAGUAUUACUGUCCUCCCUAGAGUUGUAGUCACUUCCAGGAAAAUAAAUAGAACGUAUUAUUUUC
This 3632-nucleotide long non-coding RNA is filed under the name Gallus gallus (chicken). RNAcentral's name for it is "lncRNA (ENSGALG00010008617.1)". Lineage: Eukaryota; Metazoa; Chordata; Aves; Galliformes; Phasianidae. The record is from RNAcentral.